GGGUUAAGUUUACAGAUGGUUCUGUAGUAGACCUGCAAAGUCUAUCCUGUUAGGGUUCAAUUCCUUCUUAACCCU
RNAcentral lists this transfer RNA (75 nucleotides) under Cyathus stercoreus. Its description in RNAcentral is "tRNA-Cys". It matches the Rfam family "tRNA". From Rfam's summary of the family: Transfer RNA (tRNA) molecules are approximately 80 nucleotides in length. RNAcentral also lists the same sequence under 1 other name. Lineage: Eukaryota; Fungi; Basidiomycota; Agaricomycetes; Agaricales; Nidulariaceae. The record is from RNAcentral.